UUCCAGCUGACGAGUCCCAAAUGAGACGAAGUGUGCAUCCUGGAU
Molecule: non-coding RNA, 45 nt
Filed under: Trichobilharzia regenti
Lineage: Eukaryota; Metazoa; Platyhelminthes; Trematoda; Strigeidida; Schistosomatidae
Source: RNAcentral